Carica papaya (papaya) is the source of this 2494-nucleotide non-coding RNA. NCBI's taxonomy places the organism in Eukaryota, Viridiplantae, Streptophyta, Magnoliopsida, Brassicales, Caricaceae. The record is from RefSeq and is a predicted model, not a curated record.
ACAGGACCACUGGGUUAUUUGGCUAUAAAGAUCGCAUGACCCUUGCCCAAGGCUUAGGGCGACAAUUCAAGCCUUGCCCAAGGGUCAACAACUUCAUGGUCUUUUCACAAAUUGGAUGCAAGUCUUGCCCAAUGCUUAUGCCCCGGUACUACGUGGGAUCCAAUUUGGAAACAUUUACUAAUCCUUGCCCAAGGCUUGUGAUGCAACUACGUAUGGGGGUUGAUUUCGGGCAGCUACAUUAGCCUUGCCCAAGACUUAUGGCGCAACAACACGCGGGGACAAAACUUAAACAAAAAGAACUCACAUAAGCCUUGCCCAAGGUUUAUGAUUGUUGGCAGUUCGAACUCGUACAUUUUUAUGAUUCUUGCCCAAGGCUUAGCAAAAGAAAAAAAAGAAACCAAAAACAGAAAAAGAAUAAAUUCUUUUUCAUAUCUACCAAAGCCUUGGCCUAGCCGGAACUCCUCCCCAUCCCGAACUCCUCAACCCCCUUCUUCCUUUAGAUCUGAACAAGCCCUACCUGUUAACCACCCAAAAGUAGAAUAAUGAGGCAAAAGAGAUCUGCCAGAAAACACGGAGUCCUCAGACCCACAAAGUGACUUGCCGAAUAGUCGCCAUCAUAAACCCCAGCACCACUAAUAGCUCCAGAAUCCCAAGCACGGAAUACAGUCGACCCCAUAGUGCAACUGGUUCUGGAACGACCAGUCUACUAAACUGCAGCUUCGUAAUAGAUGUCCUUGACUCUCGACCCAGAUGCUCCCACACUCUGACAACCGAAACGAGCUAGCGACCACACGACCUAACCCUCAACAGCCUCCAGAAAAGCCAACCGGUGAAAGCCCAGAAGCCGAUAGAACUAGAAAGCGGGCACGAGUCAGAAAAGGCACACAUAUUCACAACCUGCUGAAUCCAAACUACGCGAUCAUCUCGCUUUCAAGGAUGAUGUGGAAAAAGAAAGGUAUGAGGAAAUCCGUCAACUUCCAAUUUUUCCUGGACCACCCGAGCCCAGAAACAUGAGAAUAUAUGGCAAAAAGAAAGAGCAAGCAGAACCCACUGCCACUGAUUCUCAAAGGCAGAACCCCCACUACAAACCGAGAGAAAUUCAUGGACUACAUCUUGAUGCACAAUCGGAUGAUUGACAGGUGCUUGCAUAACCUCGAACAGCUAACCUGCCAAUUAGUAGACAAAGUUGAAGUGUUAGGCCGCCCCUCGGCCCCGCACCAGAUAAACCUCCAGUGUAUCCCACCUCCCAGCCAUAAUACCGGGGAAGUUUCCGUCUCCUUUCUUUUUCCUAUAUUUUUAUUUUAUUCAUCCUUUUUGCAUCGCAUUAGGGACAAUGUGCCAUUUAAGUGUGGAGGAGGGACAUGCUGCAUUUUUAGGUUUCUAUUUUGAUUCUGUUGGUAGACAUAUAAUCUUAGCCUUGUCCAAGGCGCACACAGAUGCACUUUCGAUAGUUUUUAACCCACCUUUUUCACUACUGCCAUAGUUAUUUCCAAGAUAAUUCAACUAUGAUAUUUCAAGAAUUAAAUUACAUUUUCAGUAACCUUCUAGAAUUUCUGGCUUGUUUUUCAUCUUUUCACACUAUGAAGAAGCUUCCUUGGUAAUGUGUCUUAACAUAACUUGUUUAGGGGUCGCAUUUAAUUGAUUUUCUUGUCUUGAAGUGAAUGUCAAUUCUUAGGAAAACUCUAUUACAACUUGUCAUGAUUUGUGUGUCUAGAAUUUUAUGGUUCAUUUGAAAAAAAAAAAAAAAGAAAGAGAGCACAAAUAAUAAUCUACUCUUCUAGUCUCUUGAAAUCGUGAUCAACUGAGUAACCAGGUGUAUUCAUCACAAAUGUUUGCCUUUGCAUCAAAAAGUUAGUAACAUUUUAAUAUAUCCAUAUGACUAUAAGUAGCGCUAGUAAUCACUUGAAUUUGUGACCAACUGAGUAACCGGAUGCAUUCAUCAUAAAUGUUUGCCCUUGCGUCAAAAAAGUUGUGACAAUUCAAGCAAACAAUAAAGGUACCCGGGAAAUAAUCCCUAAUAAAUCUUUUGUUCUAACAUGAACCCAUUUGCAUGAAAAUUUUAUGUCUAGGAAGGUUUGUUCUGGAUUUUGCACUAGUUAUUGGUUGUUUUUCUCAAGAUAAAAAUAUGUUUAAAAACCUGCAGAACUUUUCUAUUUUAUGCUCAAAAACUAUUCAGAGUAGUUAUUCAUUAGUGUGAUUCCAUGAGACUCAAGCCUAGAAAUACUACAUAGUGACUGUUUUUCCAAUUUUAAAGAUUGAGAUGUAACAUGCAAAUUGUGAGGGUAUGGCUAGGGAUAGUUGGGUUACAGGUGAAAGGUUGAGAAUUAUGGAACAAUAUCGUAGAGUGUUUGAGGGUAAGCAAAAUAUAAGUGUGGGGGGAGUGUGAUAACACGCAUAAACAACAUCUUUAUUGAUUAUUUUGAGUGCGUAAUUGAACUGCUUAUAACCUAAUCUGAGUGAUUUUAUCUAUUUUGAUGCAGGAAAGAUGACAAAA